AAAUAAUUAAAUAUAAGAUCUAAAACUACAAAAUUCUUAGAAGAAAACAUAAGGAAAAAGCUCCUCGAUGUUGGUCUUGGCGAUGAUUUUUGGGACAUGGCAUCAAAAGCAAAAAUAAACAAAUAGGUGUACAACAAACUAAAAAGCUUCUACAUGGAAAAUAAAUAAAUAAAUAAAAUCAACAGAGAGACAAUGUGAAAUGAAAGAAAUGACAAAACGAAAGAAAAUAU
This 230-nucleotide long non-coding RNA is filed under the name Homo sapiens (human). Its description in RNAcentral is "non-protein coding lnc-GRIK2-6:1". Lineage: Eukaryota; Metazoa; Chordata; Mammalia; Primates; Hominidae. The record is from RNAcentral.